GUUUCUGUAGUGUAGUAGUUAUUACGUUUGUCUAACACGCGAAAGGUCCCCUGUUCGAGACCGGGCAGAAACA
This 73-nucleotide transfer RNA is filed under the name Dallia pectoralis (Alaska blackfish). RNAcentral describes it as "tRNA-OTHER". The record is from RNAcentral. Lineage: Eukaryota; Metazoa; Chordata; Actinopteri; Esociformes; Umbridae.